GACGAACGCUGGCGGCGUGCCUAAUACAUGCAAGUAGAACGCUGAAGAGAGGAGCUUACUCUUCUUGGAUGAGUUGCGCACGGGUGAGUAACGCGUAGGUAACCUGCCUUGUAGCGGGGGAUAACUAUUGGAAACGAUAGCUAAUACCGCAUAACAAUGGAUGACACAUGUCAUUUAUUUGAAAGGGGCAAUUGCUCCACUACAAGAUGGACCUGCGUUGUAUUAGCUAGUAGGUGAGGUAAUGGCUCACCUAGGCGACGUUACAUAGCCGACCUGAGAGGGUGAUCGGCCACACUGGGACUGAGACACGGCCCAGACUCCUACGGGAGGCAGCAGUAGGGAAUCUUCGGCAAGGGGGGCAACCCUGACCGAGCAACGCCGCGUGAGGGAAGAAGGUUUUCGGAUCGUAAAGCUCUGUUGUAAGUCAAGAACGGGUGUGAGAGUGGAAAGUUCACACUGUGACGGUAGCUGACCAGAAAGGGACGGCUAACUACGUG
RNAcentral lists this ribosomal RNA (497 nucleotides) under uncultured bacterium. Its description in RNAcentral is "partial 16S ribosomal RNA". It matches the Rfam family "Bacterial small subunit ribosomal RNA", at positions 28 to 507 of the family's 1533-position model. The record is from RNAcentral.